AUUCAUUUAGCUUAAGGUUUAAAGCAUGAUAUUGAAGAUAUCGGGAUAAGUUUAUACUUUUUGAAUA
This 67-nucleotide transfer RNA is filed under the name Trepobates sp. XD-2019. Its description in RNAcentral is "tRNA-Phe". The record is from RNAcentral. Lineage: Eukaryota; Metazoa; Arthropoda; Insecta; Hemiptera; Gerridae.